RNAcentral lists this transfer RNA (75 nucleotides) under Marmota monax (woodchuck). RNAcentral describes it as "tRNA.Thr". The record is from RNAcentral. Lineage: Eukaryota; Metazoa; Chordata; Mammalia; Rodentia; Sciuridae.
GCUGGGGAUAUAGCUUAGUUGCUAGAGUGUUUGCCUCGUAUGCACAAGACCCUGGAUUCAAUUCCCAGCACAACA